AUGAACGCUGGCGGCGUGCUUUACACAUGCAAGUUGAGCGAGGCCGGGUAGCAAUACCCGAGUCGAGCGGCGAACGGGUGAGUAACGCGUGGAUAACCUGCCCAGAAGUGGGGGACAACCCGGGGAAACUCGGGCUAAUACCGCAUAACACCGAAAGGUCAAAGGGGCCCGCAAGGGUCUCGCUACUGGAGGGGUCCGCGUUCGAUUAGCUAGUUGGUAGGGUAAUGGCCUACCAAGGCGACGAUCGAUAGCCGGCCUGAGAGGGUGAUCGGCCACACUGGAACUGAGACACGGUCCAGACUCCUACGGGAGGCAGCAGUGGGGAAUUUUGCGCAAUGGGCUAACGCCUGACGCAGCAACGCCGCGUGGAGGAUGAAGGUCUUUGGAUUGUAAACUCCUGUCAGCAGGGAAAAAGCAACUCGGCCUCAUACGCCGGGAAGUUGAUUGUACCUGCAGAGGAAGCCCCGGCUAACUCUGUGCCAGCCGCCGCCGU
This 493-nucleotide ribosomal RNA is filed under the name uncultured bacterium. Its description in RNAcentral is "bacterial SSU rRNA". It matches the Rfam family "Bacterial small subunit ribosomal RNA", at positions 29 to 521 of the family's 1533-position model. The record is from RNAcentral.